This 500-nucleotide ribosomal RNA is filed under the name uncultured bacterium. RNAcentral describes it as "partial 16S ribosomal RNA". It matches the Rfam family "Bacterial small subunit ribosomal RNA", at positions 30 to 523 of the family's 1533-position model. The record is from RNAcentral.
AUUGAACGCUGGCGGCAUGCCUUACACAUGCAAGUCGAACGGCAGCACGGGAGCAAUCCUGGUGGCGAGUGGCGAACGGGUGAGUAAAGUAUCGGAACGUGCCCAGUCGUGGGGGAUAACGUAGCGAAAGUUACGCUAAUACCGCAUACGAUCUAUGGAUGAAAGCGGGGGAUCGCAAGACCUCGCGCGAUUGGAGCGGCCGAUAUCAGAUUAGGUAGUGGGUGGGGUAAAGGCUCACCAAGCCGACGAUCUGUAGCUGGUUUGAGAGGAUAACCCGCCAACUAGGGACUGCGACACGACCCAUACUCCGACGAGAGAAUGUAGUGUGGAAGUAUGGCCACUGGGCGAAAGCCUGAACCAGCCAUGCCGCGUGCAGGAUGAAGGCCUUCGUGUUGUAAACUCUUUUUGUACGGACCGAAAAGGUUUGGCCUAAUAAGCUGAGCUCAAGACGGUACCGUAAGCAUAAGCACCGGCUAACUACGUGCCAGCCGCCACAGUAA